This 85-nucleotide transfer RNA is filed under the name Felis catus (domestic cat). It matches the Rfam family "tRNA". Rfam says of the family: Transfer RNA (tRNA) molecules are approximately 80 nucleotides in length. Their secondary structure includes four short double-helical elements and three loops (D, anti-codon, and T loops). Lineage: Eukaryota; Metazoa; Chordata; Mammalia; Carnivora; Felidae. RNAcentral also lists the same sequence under 2 other names. The record is from Rfam by way of RNAcentral.
GCCUGGGUGGCUCAGUUGGUUAAGCAUCUGACUUCAGUUCAGGUCAUGAUCUCAUGGUCUGUGGGUUCGAGCCCCAUGUCAGGCU